UGGGGAAUUUUGGACAAUGGGGGAAACCCUGAUCCAGCCAUCCCGCGUGUGCGAUGAAGGCCUUCGGGUUGUAAAGCACUUUUGGCAGGAAAGAAACGUCGCGGGUUAAUACCCCGCGAAACUGACGGUACCUGCAGAAUAAGCACCGGCUAACUACGUGCCAGCAGCCGCGGUAAUACGUAGGGUGCAAGCGUUAAUCGGAAUUACUGGGCGUAAAGCGUGCGCAGGCGGUUCGGAAAGAAAGAUGUGAAAUCCCAGAGCUUAACUUUGGAACUGCAUUUUUAACUACCGGGCUAGAGUGUGUCAGAGGGAGGUGGAAUUCCGCGUGUAGCAGUGAAAUGCGUAGAUAUGCGGAGGAACACCGAUGGCGAAGGCAGCCUCCUGGGAUAACACUGACGCUCAUGCACGAAAGCGUGGGGAGCAAACAGGAUUAGAUACCCUGGUAGUCCACGCCCUAAACGAUGUCAACUAGCUGUUGGGGCCUUCGGGCCUUGGUAGCGCAGCUAACGCGUGAAGUUGACCGCCUGGGGAGUACGGUCGCAAGAUUAAAACUCAAAUGAAUGAC
RNAcentral lists this ribosomal RNA (565 nucleotides) under uncultured bacterium. Its description in RNAcentral is "partial 16S ribosomal RNA". It matches the Rfam family "Bacterial small subunit ribosomal RNA", at positions 355 to 914 of the family's 1533-position model. The record is from RNAcentral.